Non-coding RNA from Phrynosoma platyrhinos (Desert horned lizard), 68 nucleotides. The record is from the annotation of a GenBank genome assembly. Lineage: Eukaryota; Metazoa; Chordata; Lepidosauria; Squamata; Phrynosomatidae.
CCCACCAUGGUGUAGUGGUUUGAGUGUUGGACUGUGACUGAAGAGCAGGGUUCGAAUCCCUGGUGGAC